UUCAAUCAUACGCUGUCUCCUCUCUCUCCCCAUUCUCGCAAAAUAACCAUAGAGAUAUCAUCUAACCCUAAUCCAUCCUGUGCACGAGGUUUCUCUCACUAAAAUCUUCCUCACCACUUUUCAUUCUCAUCUAACCCUAAAAUUAUCAUCCUCUGAGUUUCUCUCACUGAAAGAUCAUCGGCGACGACUUCAAUCCAAGCUUUCCAUCAUCAAUCAACGUAUAUCAAGACUCUAAAUCGACGGUAGUUUCUAUUUUUUGGCUGGAUUGUUUUAUUUUGUGGUUCGAUUGGUGUGAUUUCCAUAAGGUUCUAUGUUUUUUUUGUUCUUUCAAUCGACUGUGAUAGCAUUAAGUUUAGUUGAUGAUCGAUUAAUGUAUUCAAUUUAGUAUUCUCUGAUUUACUUUUGUUUUGGUAUUGAUUUUGGAUAUAUAUUCGGCUUCAUCCGAUUUUGGUUAAUGGUUGAAUGUUCUUUAGGGUUUAUAAAUCCACGGUCAGAUUAUGAACAUGAUUUUUUUUCUAUUUUGAUUUUGGUUAAUGAUUCAAUUUUAUUUAGGGUUUAUAAUCCUAGGUGAUAGUGCAGGGUUUCUUUUAUGUUUCCUUUUUGUUUGUAAUGUGCAGGGUUCCUUUCCAACAGUUUACCAGCUUUUGCCUUUUCUUUUGUGUAUAAAUGGUUCAUGUGAAGUAAAUGGCAAGGAGGAUAGUAAAUCACAGGCUCGUGGUGAUGAGGAUGACGAUGACAAAAUCUCUCCCUUCCUCUGCGACGAUUUGGUUCGAUAUUAUUAGGGCUAUCAUCCAAUUAACUUGAGGUUAGUGCAUUACGUAUCUAAUUAUUAAUAUAUUGUUGAUUUAUCUUAUUGAUUCGUAUUAGGAUCUUAAUUUUUAAAUGGUGGAUUUAUAAAGAGGCAUGAGUGGAGUAGGUGGUUUGAGUGGGAAAAUCCGGUCGAAGAUGUGCUGACAGUGGGUAUGGGUGGCGAUGAUUGUGAGCCAUUUGAGAAUCCUCGCAAUCAACAAUAUGGCGGUGGAGAUCUUGAAAUGGGAACACAACAUAACGCGAAUUCUGGAGAAUUAGGGUUGUUGGAUGAAUUCUUCAAGAAGGUUCAAUCCAUUGAGAAACAAUAUGAGAAGUUGAAUAAACUACUAAAAAAUUACAGGAUGCCCAUGAGGAGUCAAAGGGUGUAACCAAGGCUGCUGCUAUGAAAUCAACACAUGGAGAAAGAUGUUGACGAAGUUGGAAAAGUUGCACGGUUUAUUAAAUCAAAAAUUGAGGAACUUGACAAGGAGACAGAAACCCGGGUGUGGAAAAGGAACAAGAGUAGACCGAUCAAGAACCGUAACCACAAUUUCACUGAAGAAAAAGUUUAAAGACAAGAUGUCUGAAUUUCAGGCUUUAAGAGAGACAUUUAUCAAGAGCACCGUGAAGUGGUCGAGAGGCGUAUUUAUAAAGUGUCAAUUUUUUGGCUGCAAGUCAUUGAUAUCGAAGACAAGGAGAUCAAAGAACUAACUGGAUUCAGGGUUUUUGUUAUUGCUGAGAGGCAUGAGUGGAGUAGGUGGUUUGAGUGGGAAAAUCUGGUUGAAGAUAGGCUGUCAGUGGUAUGGGCGGCGAUGAUUGUGGGCCAUUUGUAGUAAAGGAGGAGGAUUUUCAGUUUCAUUCCAGGGUAGGACUGAUCGGUUGGAAUUGUAGCUCUCAUUACAGUAAGUAAUUUUGUCAUUCCUCCUAAUACCAUCAUUAUAGAACCAUCAUUAUAGAACUAUUAUAGAACUGUAGAUUGCUGUGAAUAGGUUCUGACAUUUUCAAUAUAUGAGAUGGUUUUUGAAUCAGAGUAAUAAGGUAUGUGUAGGUGAAACUGAAACUAUGUCAAUUAUCUUAAUAUUUAGAUGUAAAAUACAAUUAAUUUGUUACUUUUUGUUAUUGACAAGUCAAAUGAACAGGCUAGGAAUGACGCUAUCUUUAGAGGUCUUCAAGCAUCAGUGGGGAAGAUAGUCGAGAAGGUUAAAAGAAUGAGCUUUCUUGGGAUAAAAGCCCGAGCAAAGGAUCAAUCGCUCAACUGGGAAGAUUGGUGCAGGUUUGACAUCUUUAGGGACAAUGGGUAGCUUGUGUUGGCAUAGGGUUUUGUUUAUUGUAAGCUUCUGUUUUUGUUUUCAGUUUGGUGUAAGUUUCCGUUUGGUGGAUGUAUGUUUGGCGCUAGCGCCUUGCUAGAAUUUGAAUAAAGUUUAUGUUGGUUGUUCAAAAAAAAAA
Molecule: long non-coding RNA, 2235 nt
Organism: Helianthus annuus (common sunflower)
Lineage: Eukaryota; Viridiplantae; Streptophyta; Magnoliopsida; Asterales; Asteraceae
Exons: 11
Source: RefSeq, a predicted model, not a curated record